This 2484-nucleotide long non-coding RNA is filed under the name Equus caballus (horse). Its description in RNAcentral is "lncRNA (ENSECAG00000044132.1)". Lineage: Eukaryota; Metazoa; Chordata; Mammalia; Perissodactyla; Equidae. The record is from RNAcentral.
CUGGGUGAGAGCAGAGGGCUCUGCCAGGAUAAUGAGUGCUACCCUUGGGGCCUGCCCUGGGCAAAUAAGUAAGAAAGUUUGUCUUCAACAGCUGCACCCCCACCUCACCGCCUCGGUCUGCAACCUCUUCCUCAGUCCCAUAGUUUCUUUUCUCCACUUUUUCCCCAAAGGCUUAAGGCCCAGACAAAGACACUCAGUGCUCCAGUUCUGCGACAGGGACCCUCCAGCUGCAGUGCAUGGGGAGCUGCGUGAGUCAGCCUGGCAUGGACUGUCUUAUGUCGUAAUUACAGAAAAGGAAACAAGAUUGCUUCAGAUUUAUAAAAACUGGAAGGUUCUAUUGCUGCACGUGAACAGAUUCUGUUCCAGGAUCCCGUGCCUCCAGUAACCCAUGCUUUCAUUUUAACAUGGAACAAAAGCGAACUUUAUAAGCUUGCCUGUCUAAAGGGAAUAUGCCCCUGCUCUUUAGCCUUUUGCUUCAGGGAGUUAGAGGAAUGAGUGCGAAGUGAGGGUGUGAAAAAGAGGCUAGACACAGCAGUGCUGCCUGCUGAAUUAUUUUCCAUCUGGAGGGAAGGCUGUCGCUUUCGGUAUAUUCCUCAAAGGAAGAAAGAAUGGUAGUGAACUCAAUCAAGUUUCGAUAUUACCUUGUAGUAGAUUUAAUAAGAAGGAAAAUGACUUGAGUCACAGUGCUGAGGGCUUGGGCAAGGCCCAGUGUAUUGGGAUGAUCUGAUGCACUCUUUCCUGGAUUUAUCUGAAUCUUUGCAGAAAGCAGAGAAGGGGUUGGAGCACCAUGUUGGUCCUGACAGUAGUAGAAAGAGGGAGGUGUAUGAAAAAUGCGGCACGCAUGCGUAUGGUGGAGACGGGCAUAGCCACACGUAUUGGAGACAGUUUAGCAGACUAGUUAGGAGUAUAGGUGCUGACAAUAAACUGCUUGGGCUCAAGAGUUUUCUCUUGCUAGCUGUAGGCCUUGGGCAAAUUACUCAGCCUCUUGAAGUUUCUGUUAACCUCUCUGAGUUUACUGUUCCUCAUCUGUAAGGUUGGGAUAAUAGUGGUACAAAUCUCAUAAGGGUUUUUGAGUAUUAACUUGAGAUGAUUCAUGUAAAGCACUCAGCCUAUAAUAAGGGAAUCAUUAUGAUGAGUAAAUAUAUCCACUGCAGAUGACAUUGCUAUUAGAUGGAGGUAAGGACCUCAACGUGAUGAAUGGAUUUGGUGAGCAGAGCAGUGGAGGUAAUUAUCUUCCUUUACUUCUUUUUCUGUUACUGAUACUACCAUUAAUAAUAUAGUUUCCAAUAAUUUUGAACUAUUAAAUGUCAGACAGAGUUCUGGAAUUUUUGUGUGUGUCUGUGUGAGGAAGAUUGGCCCUGAGCUAACAUCUGUGCCAGUCUCCCCUACCUUAUAUGUGAGAUGCUGCCAAAAAAGCAUGCCUUGAUAAGUGGUGGCUAUGUCCAUGCCCAGGAUCUGAAACUGGCGAAUCCCAGGCCACUGAAGCGGAGCACGCGAACUUAACUGCUAUGCCACUAGGCCAGCCCCCUCAAGGAUACUUAUUUUAUACUUCAAGUGGUAAUCUAAUAUUAUUUUAUUCAUUUUGUUGCUCAAAUUCUUCCAGUUUUGGCCACUAGGAGUUCUUUCAGUUGGCUCAUAUGUUCCUUUGACACCCCCCCAUAUUUUUCUGUUUUUUAGCCAUCUUUUAUUUUCUGGCAUUCCAAGGGAUUCCCAGCUCAUCUUGUAUAUUUCCUGCCUCUGUCCUAGAAUCAACCAUUUCUCUAAGGGGCCUGGUUUCUCUUACUGGAGAGUGCAAUUAGAAACCAAGAUGUGAGUACUAUGUGUGCUCAUCGCUAUUGGGAUGUUAUUGCUUUUAGGCCCUCUCAGCUGCAGAGCAAGGAAAUAUGUGCAUGUAUACUAACCUUCAUAUAUAUAAAUAUCCAUAAAUUUUUCUUCCUAUGUGUAUCCGUCUGUAUCUAUAUCAAGGUAAACAUGAGUUCAUAUCAAUGUCUCCAACUCUCAUCCAUUACUAAUGGAUCAUUUCCUUGCUUAUCUGUAAUCACCUGCUCAAACAGUGAGAAACCUAGCUUCCAUCUUUGGCCAUGCAUUCACUUAAUUUGUUCAAUUCCAGUAUACAUGUAUAGUGGUUUCAAAAUGUUAACCUGUACCCCACGGGGGCACAACAUUAUCAAUUAGAGUACAGUGCUUAUGAAUGGUUCUUUUUGCCUUUAAUCUUACAGAGUCUACUCAUUUACAAAGUUAUUUAGAUCACUACCUUUCCCCCACAUUCAGUGAAGUUGUCUCAUUCAUUUGUAACACAGUGUGGUUGGUGGAUCAUAUGUUAAAACUAUGUUUAGCUUUGUAAGAAAUUGCCAAACUGUCUUCCAAAGUGUCUGUACCAUUUUACGUUCCUACCAGCAAUGAAUGAGACUUCCUGUUGUUUUGCAACCUCACCAGCAAUUGAUGUUGUCAUUUUUUUGAAUUUUAGAUAUUCUAAUAGGUAUG